Molecule: ribosomal RNA, 497 nt
Filed under: uncultured bacterium
Lineage: Bacteria
Description: partial 16S ribosomal RNA
Rfam family: Bacterial small subunit ribosomal RNA
Source: RNAcentral
GAUGAACGCUGGCGGCGUGCCUAAUACAUGCAAGUCGAGCGAACGGACGAGAAGCUUGCUUCUCUGAUGUUAGCGGCGGACGGGUGAGUAACACGUGGAUAACCUACCUAUAAGACUGGGAUAACUUCGGGAAACCGGAGCUAAUACCGGCUAAUAUUUUGAACCGCAUGGUUCAAAAGUGAAAGACGGUCUUGCUGUCACUUAUAGAUGGAUCCGCGCUGCAUUAGCUAGUUGGUAAGGUAACGGCUUACCAAGGCAACGAUGCAUAGCCGACCUGAGAGGAUGAUCGGCCACACUGGAACUGAGACACGGUCCAGACUCCUACGGGAGGCAGCAGUAGGGAAUCUUCCGCAAUGGGCGAAAGCCUGACGGAGCAACGCCGCGUGAGUGAUGAAGGUCUUCGGAUCGUAAAGCUCUGUUAUUAGGGAAGAACAUAUGUGUAAGUAACUGUGCACAUCUUGACGGUACCUAAUCAGAAAGCCACGGCUAACUACGUG